This 468-nucleotide ribosomal RNA is filed under the name uncultured bacterium. RNAcentral's name for it is "partial 16S ribosomal RNA". It matches the Rfam family "Bacterial small subunit ribosomal RNA", at positions 28 to 507 of the family's 1533-position model. The record is from RNAcentral.
GACGAACGCUGGCGGCGUGCUUAACACAUGCAAGUCGAACGGAAAGGCCCUGCUUUUGUGGGGUGCUCGAGUGGCGAACGGGUGAGUAACACGUGAGUAACCUGCCCUUGACUUUGGGAUAACUUCAGGAAACUGGGGCUAAUACCGGAUAGGAGCUCCUGCUGCAUGGUGGGGGUUGGAAAGUUUCGGCGGUUGGGGAUGGACUCGCGGCUUAUCAGCUUGUUGGUGGGGUAGUGGCUUACCAAGGCUUUGACGGGUAGCCGGCCUGAGAGGGUGACCGGGCACAGUGGGAGUGAGAUACGGCCCAGACUCCUACGGGAGGCAGCAGUGGGGAAUAUUGCACAAUGGGCGGAAGCCUGAUGCAGCAACGCCGCGUGCGGGAUGACGGCCUUCGGGUUGUAAACCGCUUUCGCCUGUGACGAAGCGUGAGUGACGGUAAUGGGUAAAGAAGCAACGGCUAACUACGUG